Non-coding RNA from Homo sapiens (human), 356 nucleotides. The record is from the annotation of a RefSeq genome assembly. NCBI's taxonomy places the organism in Eukaryota, Metazoa, Chordata, Mammalia, Primates, Hominidae.
AUGCGGUGAGCCCUAGCGGUGCUUCUAGCUUUCCUGUAUCCUGAGCCAGUCAGAAAUCUUCCAACUUGGAAGGGAGAAUGAAGUCAGUCACCAGGCCGACUGGGUCAUCUGCUGAAAUCACUUGUGACCUUACUGUAAUAAAUGCCGUCUACAUCCACUGGUACCUACAGCAGGAGGGGAAGACCCCACAGCAUCUUCUGCACUAUGAUGUCUCCAACUCAAGGGAUGUGUUGGAAUCAGGUCUCAGUCUUGGAAAGUAUUAUACUCAUACACCGAGGAGGUGGAGCUGGAAUUUGAGACUGCAAAAUCUAAUUGAAAAUGAUUCUGGGGUCUAUUACUGUGCCACCUGGGGCAGG